This is a long non-coding RNA of Homo sapiens (human), 1836 nucleotides long. Ensembl annotates it as ZNF45 antisense RNA 1. Its record names the gene ZNF45-AS1. NCBI's taxonomy places the organism in Eukaryota, Metazoa, Chordata, Mammalia, Primates, Hominidae. The record is from Ensembl.
AUUCUGUAGCCUAUGCUCGGAGGGCACAUGAGCAAGAGCUUGACCAUCUGUACCGUUGGUUGACUUGCUCUAUUAAGGGCUAUGAUUUCAGGUCGUCCUGCGUGUUUAGAGGAGGCGAGUGGAAUCUUGAGUCUCGGCUGGAGAAGGCAGAGCACGGGCAUGCAGACCUCAAAGCCUCAAACCUGCGUGUGAGAGGAGAAGUUGGCGAGCUCCAGCGUAUGGUCCACGGUUGGUAUUCUAGGAAGAUACAAGACAACAGCUUCUGCGAACCAGUAAGAGUGGCCUCAUUAGACAUUGGAUUUGCCAGUGACUUGAUCAUGGACUUCCCAGUCUCCAGGACUGUGAGUUAUAAAGGUCUUUCACCAUAUUUGCUGUCCUUGGGCAAGAUCAGAGUCAUCUUUGGAAGGAAAAGCAUCUCUGGAUUUUGUUAAAUACCAUCUUAGGAAAGUACUCUCUGCUCUUCAAAGUCAGCGACGACAUGAGUCACUGUUACAGAACCCACAGAAUGUGUCCCUUAAAAUACUGAGAAUGAACACUAUUUUACUGCCUGCAUAAUUAGCACUAGACAGGUGAAUUUAUUACUACUUCAUUAAAUAGAUGAGUUUAUUAACUCAGUGAAGACUUGUGGGAACCUUACUAAAAGAGAUGCAAUUCCCCAGCCUCAAGAUGCUCACAGUCUAGUGAUGAGGAAGCUGGCAAUUCCACUAUACAUGGCUAAAUGCCAGAGUAGUGCACAGCAUCCUUUAGCGGCAUGAGGAAUGGGCUCAUAAGCCCACAGUGGAAUGCAGGGGUUCUACACAAACGUAGCUUAAUCUGAGCCCUGGAGGGUGACUGAGCUCUAUUAGCCAGAGAAUCCAAAUCACUAUAAAACUCCCAGAGAACAAAUGUCAUGAUGUGAAGACAAAUAACAGGCAGAAAGAGAUGGGCAGGAAGGCAGAAUUCAAACCAUGAUGACGUUCAAGUCACAAAAUUAUCUGCAAGUCAGCAGGAGAACACUGAAGGACUUCUGGAAAGGAGAGUAAAAAGAUUCCUUUCAUGUUAGAAACAGAUUACCCUCUCAAACGGGAGGAGGCUUGAGGGGGAGGAGGCUAGGGCCAGAGAGACUAUUAGGAGAGCCACACUAAGAAACUCUUUCUUCUUUAUUCAAAUGUCACCACCUCAGAGUCUCUCUCUAGCCAUCCUGUAGAUAAUUUCGGUCUCCUAACUGCACCCCAACACUUCCUAUCCCUCAUCUCUGCUUACUUCUUUUCUCUAAGCCCUUAUUCCUCUCUAACAUCCUUCUAGGUAUUUACUUACUUAUAUUCAUUACACUUGUCUAAUGUGGAGUUUCGUUACCUGCUCCAUCCCCAACACCUACUAAGUUGCUACAAGCAUUUGGAAGGAACCCAAAGAUUUGCAGAAUGACUACUUUAAUGACUCAGUGAAUAGUUGAUAGAUACACCAUGUGGAUCAGGGCCUCAUUAUUUAUCACCUGAACCAUUCAUUCAACAUAUGAUUGUUGAAGGGUCUACUCUGUGCCAGCCAAGGGUCCUAGAUGUGAAAUAUACAGCAGUGAACAAAGACCUUGAUCUCACAAAGAUGAUAUUAUAAUGGGCUACGAGGGCAUAGCAAACCCCCAAUAUAUAGCGAGAGACACUUUUAAGAACAAUAGGGCAGGGUAAAGAAAUAAAGAGAUGAAAGGAGGGGCUGUCACAGAAUAAGUUUUUGUCAUGAAAGAUUUCUCUUAUAUUUGAACAGAGACCUCAAAUAUAGGAAGAGAAAGCCAUGUAGAGAUCUGAUAUCUGAAGGCAUGUAAUUCAGCCCUGAAGAACAUAGAAAAUUUUUUUUUGUUAAAAA